UACGUAGGGGCAAGCGUUAUCCGGAAUUAUUGGGCGUAAAGAGCUCGUAGGCGGUUUGUCACGUCUGCUGUGAAAACUGGAGGCUCAACCUCCAGCCUGCAGUGGGUACGGGCAGACUAGAGUGCGGUAGGGGAGAUUGGAAUUCCUGGUGUAGCGGUGGAAUGCGCAGAUAUCAGGAGGAACACCGAUGGCGAAGGCAGAUCUCUGGGCCGUAACUGACGCUGAGGAGCGAAAGCAUGGGGAGCGAACAGG
Molecule: ribosomal RNA, 252 nt
Filed under: uncultured bacterium
Lineage: Bacteria
Description: partial 16S ribosomal RNA
Rfam family: Bacterial small subunit ribosomal RNA
Source: RNAcentral